UGUGUGUUAUAAAAGCCAUAAGCAGCUCUGAGACAGAGAAUAUAAGAAGGAUGAGAGCAGGGGUAUAGAGUGAGCCCCAUAAGCCCCUUGGAGGGUGGGCUCAGGAAUGCACAGGGCAUUCCCCAACAGAGAAGGAAGCUAGAAGAAGAGCUCAGGGAUUAGGAAAGGAAAGUGACUUCUAAUUGUGAUUCUGGGCUGUCAGCCUCUGAUUUCUUUGCUCACACUGUGGCUAUGCAGCUCGGAACAUAGUGCAGAAAGAAUGAGUAAAUACUAAUAAUCUGUUUACCUCGCCUUUUCUUUGCUUGCAUGUUUACAAUGCACUUCUCGCCCGCUCACAUGUUCCAAUCCGCCAUUUCUCUCUCUUCUGGAAGAAUUCACUGGUGCUGACCCAGGACUCAUUUUACAUUUUACGUCUUUUCUAAACUGAUGCCCCUUGGAACCCUGUAUAAAAGCUCACCUAAUACGGGCAAGGUGCGAACAAAGACUUCAGCCCAAGAUCCCCCUGAGUCAAUGUCACAGGAGUCUGACAUACCCAACUGGGAAAGGAGGCAGUCCAAAGAGCAAUGUCCCUCCCAAUGCCAGUACAACAGACCAGCACACAGCCUGCCGCCAUUUCAGGGACGUUGCUCUACUGAUGAAGAAGCUGGACCUGCAAGGGAUACCCCGCAGGCUCUGGAGAUCUGCUGGGCUUGCCAUCUCUGCUUAUCACCUCUGACGUGACCUUGGGCAAUUUACUGAGCCUCUCUGUGCCUCAGCUUUGUCAUCUCUAAGUUUUCUACCUAUGAUGGAAAGCAGGAAGAAUUACUUACUGCCAACUCCUCCACAUUGUAAAGAGGAACUGACUUGUCUAUAAAAAUCUCAUAAAUCUCAGCCUAGAUAAAGAAAGAUCAUCUAAGUUAUUUAUCAUCAAAACUCUCAGCCUCCGAAGCCUACUGACUAGUGACCAGUCUGUAAAUGUCACAGGA
Canis lupus familiaris (dog) is the source of this 965-nucleotide long non-coding RNA. RefSeq lists it as uncharacterized. The record is from RefSeq and is a predicted model, not a curated record. NCBI's taxonomy places the organism in Eukaryota, Metazoa, Chordata, Mammalia, Carnivora, Canidae. The transcript has 3 exons.